UUUGAUCCUGGCUCAGGAUGAACGCUAGCGAUAGGCUUAACACAUGCAAGUCGAGGGGUAACGUGUUGGAAGCUUGCUUCCGAUGACGACGACCGGCGGAUGGGUGCGUAACGCGUAUGCAACUUGCCUCACAGAGGAGAAUAACCCGGAGAAAUCCGGUAAAGGAUGGGGAUGCGUUCCAUUAGGUUGUUGGUGAGGUAACGGCCCACCAAGCCUACGAUGGAUAGGAGUUCUGAGAGGAAGGUCCCCACAUUGGAACUGAGACACGGUCCAAACUCC
Molecule: ribosomal RNA, 279 nt
Filed under: uncultured bacterium
Lineage: Bacteria
Description: partial 16S ribosomal RNA
Rfam family: Bacterial small subunit ribosomal RNA
Source: RNAcentral